Molecule: long non-coding RNA, 1121 nt
Filed under: Manihot esculenta (cassava)
Lineage: Eukaryota; Viridiplantae; Streptophyta; Magnoliopsida; Malpighiales; Euphorbiaceae
Description: long non-coding RNA (MESC_LNC004949)
Source: RNAcentral
UUUGAGUUUAUUUCUCUUAUGAUAGUAAUUUCAGUUUGCUUAACAAGACUGUUCACGAGCCUAUUCGCGAGUCUGCUCAUGAACUCAGAAACGAGCCGAGCUCACGAGUCUUAACGAGCCGAAUACUAUGGAGUUCAAGUUUGACUCGUUUACCAAACGAGUCUAAAAAUUAAGCUCGAGUUUGGCUCGUUUAGAAAUCGAGUCGAGUUCGAUCGAGCUUUUAUCAAAUCGAAUUUCGAAUAGCUCACGAACGGUUUGGUUCAUUUACAGCCCUAGCCAUUCAAUAUAUAUAAUAGGGUUUUUCCUAAGUUUUAAUAUAAUUUUAGUAUGACUUUAAUUAAAAUUAAAUAAAAUAUGUUUGAUUUAAAUUAAAAAAAAAAAAGGAAAAGUCCAUAGGGGUGUAAACGAACCGAGUCGAGCCGAGCUUUGAAGAGCUCAAGCUUGGUUCGUUAAAAUUUUUUCGAGCUCGAGCCGAAUUCGAGCUUUACUCAUAUCGAACUCGAGCCGAGUAUUAAGAAGCUCAAGCUUGGCUCGUUUAGCAAUCGAGCUUAGACGAAUCGAGCUUUUAUCGAGCUGAGUCGAGCUUUUACCGAGCUGAGUCUUAAAUAGUUUACGAGUAAUUUAAUUUAUUUACAUGUAUAAUGAGUUUUAGUUUAAAAUUAAUAAGUUUAAAACUAAAAUAAUUUUAGUUAAAUAAGUAUAUCUAUAAAUUAGCAUGUAAACUUAUAAAUAUGAGUUUUUAAAUAUUAAUGAUCUAAAUAUAUGCAAGUUUAAGAGUAUAAUUAAACUACAUAGAGCUGAAUUUUAAAAAAUUCAGAUUUGGCUCAUGAAAGUAUAUGCAGGGUUUAGUUUAUUUCUCUUAUGAUAGUAAUUUCAGUUUACUUAACGAGACUGUUCACGAGCCUAUUCGCGAGCCUGCUCAUGAACUCAUAAAUGAGUCGAGCUCACGAGCCUUAACGAGCCGAAUACUAUGGAGCUCAAGCUUGGCUCGUUUACUAAACGAGCCUAAAAAUUAAGCUCGAGCUUGGCUCGUUUAGAAAUCGAGUCGAGCUCGGUCGAGCUUUUAUCGAAUCGAACCUCGAAUAGCUCACGAACGGUUUGGCUCAUUUACACCCCUAAAA